RNAcentral lists this long non-coding RNA (427 nucleotides) under Pan troglodytes (chimpanzee). RNAcentral describes it as "long non-coding RNA NONPTRT006091". Lineage: Eukaryota; Metazoa; Chordata; Mammalia; Primates; Hominidae. The record is from RNAcentral.
CACGGCCUUCAGGAGUGACCAUAGAUGAAUCCUUUCUCACAGAAGACAAGAGCACCCAGAAUCGCAAGCUUCUUCAGAAACGAAGGACGCUGCCCACCAAAGGGAGAAGAUUCGGGCUCUGGAGCCCCUGAAGGCCAAGCUUGUCACUGUGAAUGAGGACUGCAAUGAGAGGAUCCUGGCCAUGAGAGCUGAGGAGAAAUAUGAAAUCUCCCUGCUCAAGAAAGAGAAGAUGAACUUGCUAAAACUCAUCGACAAAAAGAAUGAGGAGAAGAUUUCAUUGCAGAGUGAGGUGACCAAACUGAGGAAGAACUUGGCUGAGGAGUACCUGCACUACCUCAGUGAGCGAGAUGCCCGUAAGAUCCUCAUCGCAGACCUGAAUGAGCUGCGGUACCAGCGGGAGGACAUGUCAUUAGCCCAGUCACCAGGU